AUUGAACGCUGGCGGCAUGCCUUACACAUGCAAGUCGAACGGUAACGGGCCUUCGGGUGCCGACGAGUGGCGAACGGGUGAGUAAUACAUAGGAACGUGCCCGAUCGUGGGGGAUAACGAGGCGAAAGCUUUGCUAAUACCGCAUACGAUCUACGGAUGAAAGCAGGGGACCGCAAGGCCUUGCGCGGACGGAGCGGCCGAUGGCAGAUUAGGUAGUUGGUGGGAUAAAAGCUUACCAAGCCGACGAUCUGUAGCUGGUCUGAGAGGAUGAUCAGCCACACUGGGACUGAGACACGGCCCAGACUCCUACGGGAGGCAGCAGUGGGGAAUUUUGGACAAUGGGCGCAAGCCUGAUCCAGCCAUGCCGCGUGCAGGAUGAAGGCCUUCGGGUUGUAAACUGCUUUUGUACGGAACGAAAAGCCUUCUUUUAAUACAGGAGGGUCAUGACGGUACCGUAAGAAUAAGCACCGGCUAACUACGUG
This 482-nucleotide ribosomal RNA is filed under the name uncultured bacterium. RNAcentral describes it as "partial 16S ribosomal RNA". It matches the Rfam family "Bacterial small subunit ribosomal RNA", at positions 30 to 507 of the family's 1533-position model. The record is from RNAcentral.